GAUGAACGCUGGCGGCGUGCUUAACACAUGCAAGUCGAACGGAAAGGCCUCUACUUGCAGGGGUACUCGAGUGGCGAACGGGUGAGUAACACGUGGGUGAUCUGCCCUGCACUUCGGGAUAAGCCUGGGAAACUGGGUCUAAUACCGGAUAGGACAAUGGUUUGGAUGCUGUUGUGGAAAGUUUUUCGGUGUGGGAUGAGCUCGCGGCCUAUCAGCUUGUUGGUGGGGUAAUGGCCUACCAAGGCGUCGACGGGUAGCCGGCCUGAGAGGGUGUACGGCCACAUUGGGACUGAGAUACGGCCCAGACUCCUACGGGAGGCAGCAGUGGGGAAUAUUGCACAAUGGGCGCAAGCCUGAUGCAGCGACGCCGCGUGGGGGAUGACGGCCUUCGGGUUGUAAACUCCUUUCGCUAGGGACGAAGCGUUUUUGUGACGGUACCUGGAGAAGAAGCACCGGCUAACUACGUG
RNAcentral lists this ribosomal RNA (467 nucleotides) under uncultured bacterium. Its description in RNAcentral is "partial 16S ribosomal RNA". It matches the Rfam family "Bacterial small subunit ribosomal RNA", at positions 28 to 507 of the family's 1533-position model. The record is from RNAcentral.